RNAcentral lists this non-coding RNA (31 nucleotides) under Mus musculus (house mouse). Lineage: Eukaryota; Metazoa; Chordata; Mammalia; Rodentia; Muridae. The record is from RNAcentral.
UGGGAUGGUCUCGAUUUACUGCAGUGUGCAC